CUCAUACUCCCUCCGUCCGAAAAUAGUUGUCAUCAAAAUUGAUAAAAAGGGAUGUAUCUAGAACUAAAAUACAUCUAGAUACAUCCCCUUUUAUUCAUUUUGAUGACAAGUAUUUCCGGACGGAGGGAGUAUCAU
Triticum aestivum (bread wheat) is the source of this 135-nucleotide non-coding RNA. The record is from Rfam. NCBI's taxonomy places the organism in Eukaryota, Viridiplantae, Streptophyta, Magnoliopsida, Poales, Poaceae.